This 559-nucleotide ribosomal RNA is filed under the name uncultured bacterium. RNAcentral describes it as "bacterial SSU rRNA". It matches the Rfam family "Bacterial small subunit ribosomal RNA", at positions 225 to 775 of the family's 1533-position model. The record is from RNAcentral.
AUGGGCCCCCGGCGCAUUAGCUAGUUGGUGAGGUAACGGCUCACCAAGGCGACGAUGCGUAGCCUACUUGAGAGGGUGAUCGGCCACACUGGGACUGAGACACGGCCCAGACUCCUACGGGAGGCAGCAGUAGGGAAUCUUCCGCAAUGGACGAAAGUCUGACGGAGCACCGCCGCGUGAGUGAUGAAGGACUUCGGUUCGUAAAGCUCUGUUGUUAGGUAAGAACAAGUGCCGUUCAAAUAGGGCGGCACCUUGACGGUACCUACCCAGAAAGCCACGGCUAACUACGUGCCAGCAGCCGCGGUAAUACGUAGGUGGCAAGCGUUGUCCGGAACUAUUGGGCGUAAAGCGCGCGCAGGCGGUCUUUUAAGUCUGAUGUGAAAGCCCACGGCUCAACCGUGGAGGGUCAUUGGAAACUGGCAGACUUGAGUACAGAAGAGGAGAGUGGAAUUCCCCGUGUAGCGGUGAAAUGCGUAGAUAUGUGGAGGAACACCAGUGGCGAAGGCGACUCUCUGGUCUGUAACUGACGCUGAGGCGCGAAAGCGUGGGGAGCAAACAG